AGGUAUUUUUUGACGUUGAACGAAAAAGGAAAUUGAUAUACACUCCGUAGGAACUUGCACACACAAAGGCGAAAGGUUAGCCUGGAACUACAUAGAGAGCAUGGCUAGCUGUGGAGCUCUUAUAGGAUUCCAGAGUUCUAUGUAUACGGAUGAAGAUUUGUUGGGUUAUGUUGUGGGUUGCUAUUUUGAGCUUAUGACCUAUUGUGUUGUACGUUGGGGAUCAUGUGUUGUACAUCUUUUGACAUGACAUGUAGACUUGUUUAUAAUCUCAGCAUAUAUAUGUUUGAUUAUGGCGA
Olea europaea var. sylvestris is the source of this 296-nucleotide long non-coding RNA. RefSeq lists it as uncharacterized. The record is from RefSeq and is a predicted model, not a curated record. NCBI's taxonomy places the organism in Eukaryota, Viridiplantae, Streptophyta, Magnoliopsida, Lamiales, Oleaceae. The transcript has 2 exons.